RNAcentral lists this long non-coding RNA (212 nucleotides) under Hordeum vulgare. RNAcentral's name for it is "long non-coding RNA (HVUL_LNC010480)". The record is from RNAcentral. Lineage: Eukaryota; Viridiplantae; Streptophyta; Magnoliopsida; Poales; Poaceae.
CCAUGUUUCACUCUCCUUGGCCUCUCCAUGUUUCCUUUGGAAAGAAAAAGGAUGUGAAAUCUGAGCGGUGUCUCCUACUUCGAAACCCUCCCAAGUUAUUUCAUGCCCGAUCCUAUGUGUUCUUUCUUUCCCUUGCCAUCAGGAACCUCGCAUUUAUGUCGUCACCGGAGGCAGGAUGCCCUCUCCGUUUAGCUCAUGUGCCUCUAAACAUA